AUUGAACGCUGGCGGCAGGCCUAACACAUGCAAGUCGAACGGUAACAGGAAGAAGCUUGCUUCUUUGCUGACGAGUGGCGGACGGGUGAGUAAUGUCUGGGAAACUGCCUGAUGGAGGGGGAUAACUACUGGAAACGGUAGCUAAUACCGCAUAACGUCGCAAGACCAAAAAGGGGGACCUUCGGGCCUCCUGCCAUCGGAUGUGCCCAGAUGGGAUUAGCUAGUAGGUGGGGUAACGGCUCACCUAGGCGACGAUCCCUAGCUGGUCUGAGAGGAUGACCAGCCACACUGGAACUGAGACACGGUCCAGACUCCUACGGGAGGCAGCAGUGGGAAUAUUGCACAAUGGGCGCAAGCCUGAUGCAGCCAUGCCGCGUGUAUGAAGAAGGCCUUCGGGUGUUAAGUACGUUUACAGUCGGGGAGGAAGGGAGUAAAGGUU
RNAcentral lists this ribosomal RNA (439 nucleotides) under uncultured bacterium. Its description in RNAcentral is "bacterial SSU rRNA". It matches the Rfam family "Bacterial small subunit ribosomal RNA", at positions 30 to 465 of the family's 1533-position model. The record is from RNAcentral.